GGGCGGCGGGACCGCCGGCUGCCGCCCGUGGGACCGGCGAUCCCGGCGGGCCUGGGGAGCACGCCUCGCCAAACUGCAAAUGAGGGGCAGGGUGUGCUGUCACCGACCCCCCUGAGCGCGCCUCUCUCCAGGGAAAGGAUGGCUUCUCUUCCUUUUCCCACGUAAGGAGGGAGACACGUUUUCCAGGCGCUGUGUGAGUUUUGCCUGGUCUUUCAGAGGAGGGACGGAAAGCUGGUGGUCUCCCGUCUGGAGCACCCCAGGCUCAGCACCCUAGCUGGACCACUGAUCCCACUGUGGGCCACAAUGCCCUGCUAACAAAAUGUGGUGGCAUGGCCAUGGUGCUGAAUGGGAGUCUCCAUGGCAGGGGAUUGUCUGGCAGGGCAGGACCUGGGGACCAGGAGGCAGCCCUUGUUCUUCACAGUGAAGGCCUGGAAGAGGGAGGGCAUUUUGGCAGACUGCCCAGCUUUCAGGAGUUCAGCUUGAGGUCCAGCUCUGCCCAUCAGGCCUGCCAGAACCUGUGACCCCAUCUCCUGGCAAAGUGACGCACUUGGAAUGACAUGGACCACUGCUUUCUCCAUUCUUCUGCUUCAUGUGCCCUGAUUUCCGUGGUGGAUGAGUCACUGGCUGGCACCUUGGCUGGAAGAUGGACGAGCCACCCCCAUGCUGCUGACACAGCCUGAAUACAGACUUUCUGCUCUUACCUAGGUAUGAAAUCAGGAAGAGGAGAUGUGCUUCCUAAGAAAAAGGGACUGGAUUUGUUCUGGGCUUCCUGGGGGAUUCUGGGAGAAAAAUGAAAAGGUUUUGCUGCUUUAUGAGGGUAAGCACUGACUUUUUUUUUUUUUUUUUUAAAUGUGUGUUGCUUUUGCAUUUCUUUAUUUUUAAGAAAGUGGUAGGGAAAUUUUCCUCCUUGAGGGAAAAAACAAAGCAAAAGCAGAGACUGGUAGUGUUGACUGCUCAUUCAUGGAGAACAGUGGUUCCAGGAAAGGCUAAAGUCUGUUUGCACUAGUUCCUACAGCUAAUGAAGUAUGACUGUGAAGGGGGCUCCUAAUGCUAGUGCGAAGCAAGGCUCACAAGCUUCAAAUGUUUUCUUGGAUGAUCUCCAAACCUUCUGCCCUCCUUUGGGCUACAGCUGAGGUUGGAGACCUCAGAGCUGCGAAGACUUCAGUGCAGCUGCUUCCAAGCAAAACCAGAGCCAUCACAAUGAAAAUAAAUAAAUAAACAAAUAGUGCUAUUCUGA
This is a long non-coding RNA of Haemorhous mexicanus (house finch), 1237 nucleotides long. RefSeq lists it as uncharacterized. NCBI's taxonomy places the organism in Eukaryota, Metazoa, Chordata, Aves, Passeriformes, Fringillidae. The transcript has 3 exons. The record is from RefSeq and is a predicted model, not a curated record.